ACGCACGCUGGCGGCAUGCCUAACACAUGCCAGUCGAACGAGACCUUCGGGUCUAGUGGCGCACGGGUGCGUAACGCGUGGGAACCUGCCCUUAGGUUCGGAAUAACUCCCCGAAAGGGGUGCUAAUACCGGAUAAUGUCUUCGGACCAAAGAUUUAUCGCCUUUGGAUGGGCCCGCGUUGGAUUAGCUAGUUGGUAGGGUAAAAGCCUACCAAGGCGACGAUCCAUAGCUGGUCUGAGAGGAUGAUCAGCCACACUGGGACUGAGACACGGCCCAGACUCCUACGGGAGGCAGCAGUGGGGAAUAUUGGACAAUGGGCGAAAGCCUGAUCCAGCAAUGCCGCGUGAGUGAUGAAGGCCUUAGGGUUGUAAAGCUCUCUUACCCGGGAUGAUAAUGGCAGUACCGGGAGAAUAAGCUCCGGCUAACUCCGUG
This 432-nucleotide ribosomal RNA is filed under the name uncultured bacterium. RNAcentral's name for it is "partial 16S ribosomal RNA". It matches the Rfam family "Bacterial small subunit ribosomal RNA", at positions 29 to 507 of the family's 1533-position model. The record is from RNAcentral.